UAUUUUUUUCUGUUGCGUUACCACCCGCCA
RNAcentral lists this non-coding RNA (30 nucleotides) under Mus musculus (house mouse). The record is from RNAcentral. Lineage: Eukaryota; Metazoa; Chordata; Mammalia; Rodentia; Muridae.